RNAcentral lists this ribosomal RNA (725 nucleotides) under Caldalkalibacillus horti. Its description in RNAcentral is "bacterial SSU rRNA". It matches the Rfam family "Bacterial small subunit ribosomal RNA", at positions 50 to 758 of the family's 1533-position model. Lineage: Bacteria; Bacillati; Bacillota; Bacilli; Caryophanales; Bacillaceae. The record is from RNAcentral.
AAUACAUGCAAGUCGAGCGGACAGAAGGGAGCUUGCUCCCGGACGUUAGCGGCGGACGGGUGAGUAACACGUAGGUAACCUGCCCCUUAGACUGGGAUAACUCCGGGAAACCGGAGCUAAUACGGGAUAAUAAAGAGAAUCACCUGAUUUUCUUUUGAAAGACGGUUUCGGCUGUCACUAAGGGAUGGGCCUGCGGCGCAUUAGCUAGUUGGUAAGGUAACGGCUUACCAAGGCGACGAUGCGUAGCCGACCUGAGAGGGUGAUCGGCCACACUGGGACUGAGACACGGCCCAGACUCCUACGGGAGGCAGCAGUAGGGAAUCUUCCGCAAUGGACGAAAGUCUGACGGAGCAACGCCGCGUGAGUGAGGAAGGCCUUCGGGUCGUAAAGCUCUGUUGUGAGGGAAGAACAAGUACCGGGGUAACUACCGGUACCUUGACGGUACCUCACCAGAAAGCCACGGCUAACUACGUGCCAGCAGCCGCGGUAAUACGUAGGUGGCAAGCGUUGUCCGGAAUUAUUGGGCGUAAAGCGCGCGCAGGCGGCUCCUUAAGUCUGAUGUGAAAUCUCGGGGCUCAACCCCGAGCGGCCAUUGGAAACUGGGGAGCUUGAGUGCAGAAGAGGAGAGUGGAAUUCCACGUGUAGCGGUGAAAUGCGUAGAUAUGUGGAGGAACACCAGUGGCGAAGGCGACUCUCUGGUCUGUAACUGACGCUGAGGCGCGAAA